Molecule: ribosomal RNA, 328 nt
Filed under: uncultured Terrimonas sp.
Lineage: Bacteria; Pseudomonadati; Bacteroidota; Chitinophagia; Chitinophagales; Chitinophagaceae
Description: bacterial SSU rRNA
Rfam family: Bacterial small subunit ribosomal RNA
Source: RNAcentral
UGCGUAGGUGGGUUGGUAAGUCAGUGGUGAAAUCCCCGAGCUUAACUUGGGAACUGCCAUUGAUACUAUUAAUCUUGAAUACCGUGGAGGUCAGCGGAAUAUGUCAUGUAGCGGUGAAAUGCUUAGAUAUGACAUAGAACACCAAUUGCGAAGGCAGCUGGCUACGCGAAUAUUGACACUGAUGCACGAAAGCGUGGGGAUCAAACAGGAUUAGAUACCCUGGUAGUCCACGCCCUAAACUAUGGAUACUCGACAUCAGCGAUACACUGUUGGUGUCUGAGCGAAAGCAUUAAGUAUCCCACCUGGGAAGUACGGUCGCAAGAUUGAA